UGCGGGGUGGAGCAGUCUGGUAGCUCGUUGGGCUCAUAACCCAAAGGUCGUAGGUUCGAAUCCUGCCCCCGCUA
RNAcentral lists this transfer RNA (74 nucleotides) under Gammaproteobacteria bacterium. RNAcentral describes it as "tRNA-Met". It matches the Rfam family "tRNA". Rfam says of the family: Transfer RNA (tRNA) molecules are approximately 80 nucleotides in length. RNAcentral also lists the same sequence under 1 other name. Lineage: Bacteria; Pseudomonadati; Pseudomonadota; Gammaproteobacteria. The record is from RNAcentral.